RNAcentral lists this ribosomal RNA (253 nucleotides) under uncultured bacterium. RNAcentral's name for it is "partial 16S ribosomal RNA". It matches the Rfam family "Bacterial small subunit ribosomal RNA", at positions 524 to 776 of the family's 1533-position model. The record is from RNAcentral.
UACGGGGGGGGCAAGCGUUGUUCGGAAUUACUGGGCGUAAAGGGCUCGUAGGUGGCCAACUAAGUCAGACGUGAAAUCCCUCGGCUUAACCGGGGAACUGCGUCUGAUACUGGACGGCUUGAGUUUGGGAGAGGGACGCGGAAUUCCAGGUGUAGCGGUGAAAUGCGUAGAUAUCUGGAGGAACCCCGGUGGCGAAGGCGGCGUCCUGGACCAACACUGACACUGAGGAGCGAAAGCCAGGGGAGCAAACGGG